AGUUGGCUGUGUGCCCGCGGAGGAGACGGCGGCUGUGACUGGUUGUCUUUCCCGUGUCCCCUGGCACUGUGCGUCUUCCUGCCACAAACCCACUCCCAUGGCUUGUCAGCCAGCCAGGCAGUGCCCAGCGGGCUCUGAGCCUUGGUGCCAGCGAUGGCUGUUCCUGGCACUGCUGGCAGCAUGCACACAGCUCCACGGCUGUUGUCAGCGCAAUGGUCUGGGGACAUGCACAGAAGGAUUUUUCUAGAGUUCCUGGGUGACUGCACUGCUUUGGGACCUGCAGCUCCUCACAGGGUUGGGAGAGCUUCCCUUGUCUUGCUGGUCUUUGCGACUCCCCCCCCCCCCAAUCUGGGCAUCCACGGCUGUCCCUGUGCUGGCACACCUGUGUCGGCACACCCGUGUCCAUUCUCUGCAGAGCGGCGUUCUCUCUUGCUGACGGUACUUCUCAGGGAUUUCUCUAUCCACACAGCUCGAGGUGAGGUGGAGGCAGAUCUUAACACGUUCUUAGCGCGUGUGUAAAUUAUGACACGCUGGGCAGCAUUUCCAAGACGACGCUGGGGCGGGGCUUGCUCAGUGCCACGGCCUUGGGGGCGGAGCCCGGCCCUGCCCUUCCACGUGACUGGCCGUGACUCCGGGCGGACUCUGAAGGCCGUGUGCAGCGCGCGCUGUCCCUCCUCACGCGGGUGAAGGGCGUGUCCGUGGCACACGCACAGGCCCACGGCAGACCUGGGACUUCUCAACCCGCCGACAGCACGGCCCAGCGCGGCUCAGCUCCCCGUCUCGGGCGCUCCUGAGUCGGGGUUCCAUCUGUGCUCUAAGAAACCAACUCCAGGGAAGGCCGCAUCUCCUGUUGUGCCCAGACAGCCCCAGCGGCAGUUUGCGGGUAUUAGAUCCACUUUUGAGGAGACUCCGUUGAGGACACUGUACCCCACAAAGACCUCUCUCUGGUAACUGAGGAGUCUUGGGAUUCCCUAAGGAGUUAAGAGUCCUGGGUCCCAUUUCCAGGAGCGCAGCCGAUCUGACUGGGGUUUUCAUGUUCUAACGUAGCUGUGUGGCGGCGCUGCCUGGGUGUGCACAGGCCAGUGCUUCUCACACAGGGGCUUUGCGAGGUGUGGAGAGGGCAGACCCGGGCAUGGGGCCUCGCGCCCGCCCGUUACCAUGGUAGACGCUGUUUUCUGAAUGUAGAGCUUUGUCUUGUAUAAAGAUCCAGGAAGCUUCUGGAUGCUCUCAAGCUGUUGAAUAUGAACAGAACUGUGCAGAUUUCUGAGUGGAUUUUUUUUUGAGGUGAGCAUUUUGUUACAGCUUAUAAAAGACACUUUUCUAUUUAGACCUCAGGGCUAUCUUGGGACCUUGGAAUGAUUGCACCCGCAGCAGCUUCAAUUCUUGAUAUUCACAAGGUUCUUAAUCUUUCAGUGAAAUGUGACACUUUCCGGCAGAAAGAAUGUGUUUUCCCUUUGAACUUCCAACAACACCCAGCUUGUGUCAUGUUUUAAAUGAAAUUAAAAAAUGAUGUAAAGACACAAGGAAAUUAAUGCUGAAAUAAUUAAGCACCACUUGAAAAAUAAAUGUUUUCAUGCUACA
Dipodomys ordii (Ord's kangaroo rat) is the source of this 1581-nucleotide long non-coding RNA. RefSeq lists it as uncharacterized. The record is from RefSeq and is a predicted model, not a curated record. NCBI's taxonomy places the organism in Eukaryota, Metazoa, Chordata, Mammalia, Rodentia, Heteromyidae. The transcript is spliced from 2 exons.